AAUAGAUACCCGGGUAGUCCACCCCGUAAACGUUGGGAACUAGUUGUGGGACCAUUCCACGGUUUCCGUGACGCAGCUAACGCAUUAAGUUCCCCGGCCUGGGGGAGUACGGCCGCAAGGCUAAAACUCAAAGGAAUUGACGGGGACCCGCACAAGCGGCGGAGCAUGCGGAUUAAUUCGAUGCAACGCGAAGAACCUUACCAAGGCUUGACAUACACCAGAACACCGUAGAAAUACGGGACUCUUUGGACACUGGUGAACAGGUGGUGCAUGGUUGUCGUCAGCUCGUGUCGUGAGAUGUUGGGUUAAGUCCCGCAACGAGCGCAACCCUCGUUCUAUGUUGCCAGCACGUAAUGGUGGGAACUCAUGGGAUACUGCCGGGGUCAACUCGGAGGAAGGUGGGGAUGACGUCAAAUCAUCAUGCCCCUUAUGUCUUGGGCUUCACGCAUGCUACAAUGGCCGGUACAAAGGGCUGCAAUACCGUGAGGUGGAGCGAAUCCCAAAAAGCCGGUCCCAGUUCGGAUUGAGGUCUGCAACUCGACCUCA
This 546-nucleotide ribosomal RNA is filed under the name uncultured bacterium. RNAcentral describes it as "bacterial SSU rRNA". It matches the Rfam family "Bacterial small subunit ribosomal RNA", at positions 777 to 1320 of the family's 1533-position model. The record is from RNAcentral.